GUCCACACCGUAAACGUUGGGCGCUAGGUGUGGGGCCUAUUCCAUGGGUUCCGUGCCGCAGCUAACGCAUUAAGCGCCCCGCCUGGGGAGUACGGCCGCAAGGCUAAAACUCAAAGGAAUUGACGGGGGCCCGCACAAGCGGCGGAGCAUGUGGAUUAAUUCGAUGCAACGCGAAGAACCUUACCUGGGUUUGACAUACGCCGGAAAGCCACAGAGAUGUGGCCCCUUUUAGUCGGUGUACAGGUGGUGCAUGGCUGUCGU
RNAcentral lists this ribosomal RNA (261 nucleotides) under uncultured bacterium. RNAcentral describes it as "partial 16S ribosomal RNA". It matches the Rfam family "Bacterial small subunit ribosomal RNA", at positions 793 to 1055 of the family's 1533-position model. The record is from RNAcentral.